UACGAGGGGGGCGAGCGUUGCUCGGAAUUACUGGGCGUAAAGGGCGCGUAGGCGGGUCGUUAAGUUGGGGGUGAAAGCCCAGGGCUCAACCCUGGAAUUGCCUUCAAUACUGGCGACCUUGAGUAUGGCAGAGGUGUGUGGAACUCCGAGUGUAGAGGUGAAAUUCGUAGAUAUUCGGAAGAACACCAGUGGCGAAGGCGACACACUGGGCCAUUACUGACGCUGAGGCGCGAAAGCGUGGGGAGCAAACAGG
RNAcentral lists this ribosomal RNA (253 nucleotides) under uncultured bacterium. RNAcentral's name for it is "partial 16S ribosomal RNA". It matches the Rfam family "Bacterial small subunit ribosomal RNA", at positions 524 to 776 of the family's 1533-position model. The record is from RNAcentral.